Molecule: ribosomal RNA, 450 nt
Filed under: uncultured bacterium
Lineage: Bacteria
Description: partial 16S ribosomal RNA
Rfam family: Bacterial small subunit ribosomal RNA
Source: RNAcentral
GUGGGGAAUCUUCCGCAAUGGACGAAAGUCUGACGGAGCGACGCCGCGUGAGUGAAGAAGGCCUUCGGGUCGUAAAGCUCUGUCAUCAGGGACGAACGGCCGGUGGAGUGGAAAGCCACCGGAUUGACGGUACCUGAGAAGGAAGCCACGGCUAACUACGUGCCAGCAGCCGCGGUAAUACGUAGGUGGCAAGCGUUGUCCGGAAUUAUUGGGCGUAAAGCGCGCGCAGGUGGGAUCUUAAGUCCAUUUUUAAAGUUCGGAGCUCAACUCCGUGAUGGGAUGGAAACUGGGAUUCUUGAGUACCGGAGAGGAAAGCGGAAUUCCCCGUGUAGCGGUGAAAUGCGUAGAUAUGGGGAGGAACACCAGUGGCGAAGGCGGCUUUCUGGACGGUGUCUGACACUGAGGCGCGAAAGCCAGGGGAGCGAACGGGAUUAGAUACCCGGGUAGUCC